RNAcentral lists this RNase P RNA (314 nucleotides) under Flavobacterium soyangense. RNAcentral describes it as "Bacterial RNase P class A". It matches the Rfam family "Bacterial RNase P class A". Rfam says of the family: Ribonuclease P (RNase P) is a ubiquitous endoribonuclease, found in archaea, bacteria and eukarya as well as chloroplasts and mitochondria. Its best characterised activity is the generation of mature 5'-ends of tRNAs by cleaving the 5'-leader elements of precursor-tRNAs. The record is from Rfam by way of RNAcentral. Lineage: Bacteria; Pseudomonadati; Bacteroidota; Flavobacteriia; Flavobacteriales; Flavobacteriaceae.
ACUGCAGACCGCCUUAUCGCCGCGAUUAUAUCGGGGAGGAAAGUCCGGACACCACAGAGAAGCAUAGCGGGUAACGCCCGUCGGUUCCGAUUUAUCAGGAUUAGGACAAGUGCAACAGAAAGUAUGUACAGGUAAUGCUGUAGUGAAACCAGGUAAACUCUAUGCGGUGAAAUUUCAAGUAUAUCGGCAUUUAAGGGUUCUCGCCCGUUGUCGAAGGGUAGAAAGAUGGAGCACAUGAGCAAUUGCGUGCCUAGAUAAAUGAUAAGGCUCCGAUUUAUCGGGGACAGAAUCCGGCUUACAGGUCUGCUUUUUUA